This 589-nucleotide long non-coding RNA is filed under the name Homo sapiens (human). Its description in RNAcentral is "long intergenic non-protein coding RNA 1020". The record is from RNAcentral. Lineage: Eukaryota; Metazoa; Chordata; Mammalia; Primates; Hominidae.
UGGAGCAGCCUUGAGCCACAACUCAGACUUAUUUUCAUUCUCUGCUCAUUGGCCAUUAGGAACCCGAUCCUUAUGACCUGCAGUGACCUGCUGCUACCAGAACUGACUCGCUUCAAAGUGACGGAUGAAACCCAUAUGGAGAUAUUCCUGGGGUGGGUAGGCCAGUUGGAAGACAGAGUGUUUACACCUGAGAGAGGACUUGAGAAUUUUACUCAGUCACGUUGCUCACUGCUGCGCACUCCUGCAGACGCAUCCCAGUGGACUCUGCGCUGCAUCCCCAGAGUACAGCGAGUUUCCCGCCUCCCGUUAGAGAUCCAACACAUAUUUUUUUUGAAAGAAGAAACUGAUGGAAGACAGGAAGCAAAAAGGAGAGGAAGGAAAGGGAUAGGAAGGAGGGGAAGGAAAGGGAAAGGAAGGAAAAGAAAGGAAAGUGAACUUGAAAUCCUACAAGGUCUCAAAGUCAAAAAACAUGAUUGCUGUUUUAGAGAAUUGAAGAUCCUUCAUCUUCAAGAAUCUGAAAUCUACCAUGAUCUUCACAUGUAGCCAAACACAAUGGGAUGUAGUCAUUUAAGAGUGCUGUGAAGGCAGU